RNAcentral lists this transfer RNA (71 nucleotides) under Actinomycetota bacterium. RNAcentral's name for it is "tRNA-Cys". It matches the Rfam family "tRNA". From Rfam's summary of the family: Transfer RNA (tRNA) molecules are approximately 80 nucleotides in length. Their secondary structure includes four short double-helical elements and three loops (D, anti-codon, and T loops). The record is from RNAcentral. Lineage: Bacteria; Bacillati; Actinomycetota.
GGCGAAGUGGCCGAGAGGAUAGGCAGAGGCCUGCAAAGCCUUGUACACGGGUUCGAAUCCCGUCUUCGCCU